CAAGUCGAACGAUAAGGUCUCUCGGAGAUACAUAAGUGGCGGACGGGUGAGUAAUAUGUAGAGAAUCUGCCCUAGAGAGGGGGACAACAGAGGGAAACUUCUGCUAAUACCCCAUAUGAGCGUAGUUGAAAUGCUAUUCUUGAAAACUCCGGUGCUCUGGGAUGAGUCUGCAUCUGAUUAGCUAGUUGGGGGUGUAAUGGACCACCAAGGCGACGAUCAGUAGCUGGUUUGAGAGGAUGAUCAGCCACAAUGGGACUGAGACACGGCCCAUACUCCUACGGGAGGCAGCAGUAGGGAAUUUUGCGCAAUGGGGGAAACCCUGAACCGCAGCAACGUCCGCGUGACCGAUGAAGCCCUUCGGGGUGUAAAGGUCUGUCAGUGGGGACGAAACUUGACGGUACCCACAGAGGAAGCAUCGGUCUAACUCCGUGCCAGCCGCCGC
This 442-nucleotide ribosomal RNA is filed under the name uncultured bacterium. RNAcentral describes it as "bacterial SSU rRNA". It matches the Rfam family "Bacterial small subunit ribosomal RNA", at positions 58 to 518 of the family's 1533-position model. The record is from RNAcentral.